RNAcentral lists this ribosomal RNA (497 nucleotides) under uncultured bacterium. RNAcentral's name for it is "partial 16S ribosomal RNA". It matches the Rfam family "Bacterial small subunit ribosomal RNA", at positions 28 to 507 of the family's 1533-position model. The record is from RNAcentral.
GAUGAACGCUGGCGGCGUGCCUAAUACAUGCAAGUCGAGCGAACAGACGAGGAGCUUGCUCCUCUGACGUUAGCGGCGGACGGGUGAGUAACACGUGGAUAACCUACCUAUAAGACUGGGAUAACUUCGGGAAACCGGAGCUAAUACCGGAUAAUAUAUUGAACCGCAUGGUUCAAUAGUGAAAGACGGUUUUGCUGUCACUUAUAGAUGGAUCCGCGCCGCAUUAGCUAGUUGGUAAGGUAACGGCUUACCAAGGCAACGAUGCGUAGCCGACCUGAGAGGGUGAUCGGCCACACUGGAACUGAGACACGGUCCAGACUCCUACGGGAGGAAGCAGUAGGGAAGCUUCCGCAAUGGGCGAAAGCUUGACGGAGAAACGCCGCGUGAGUGAUGAAGGUCUUCGGAUCGUAAAACUCUGUUAUUAGGGAAGAACAAAUGUGUAAGUAACUAUGCACGUCUUGACGGUACAUAAUCAGAAAGCCACGGCUAACUACGUG